This 1292-nucleotide ribosomal RNA is filed under the name Octospora leucoloma. RNAcentral's name for it is "SSU rRNA". It matches the Rfam family "Eukaryotic small subunit ribosomal RNA", at positions 88 to 1407 of the family's 1831-position model. The record is from RNAcentral. Lineage: Eukaryota; Fungi; Ascomycota; Pezizomycetes; Pezizales; Pyronemataceae.
UGCGAACGGCUCAUUAAAUCAGUUAUCGUUUAUUUGAUAGUACCUUUACCUACUUGGAUAACCGUGGUAAUUCUAGAGCUAAUACAUGCUAAAAGUCCCGACCUCUGGAAGGGACGUAUUUAUUAGAUAAAAAACCAAUGCCCUUCUGGGCUUCUUGGUGAUUCAUGAUAACUUUACGAAUCGCAUGGCCUUGUGCCGGCGAUGGUUCAUUCAAAUUUCUGCCCUAUCAACUUUCGAUGGUAGGAUAGUGGCCUACCAUGGUUUCAACGGGUAACGGGGAAUUAGGGUUCGAUUCCGGAGAGGGAGCCUGAGAAACGGCUACCACAUCCAAGGAAGGCAGCAGGCGCGCAAAUUACCCAAUCCCGACACGGGGAGGUAGUGACAAGAAAUACUGAUACAGGGCCCAUCUGGGUCUUGUAAUUGGAAUGAGUACAAUUUAAAGCCUUUAACGAGGAACAAUUGGAGGGCAAGUCUGGUGCCAGCAGCCGCGGUAAUUCCAGCUCCAAUAGCGUAUAUUAAAGUUGUUGCAGUUAAAAAGCUCGUAGUUGAACUUUGGGUCUGGGUGACCGGUCCCCCGACUUGGGUGUGUACUGGAAACCCGGAUCUUUCCUUCUGGAGAACCUCAUGCCCUUCACUGGGUGUGUUGGGGAACUAGGACUUUUACUUUGAAAAAAUUAGAGUGUUCAAAGCAGGCUUUUGCUCGAAUACAUUAGCAUGGAAUAAUAAAAUAGGACGUGCGGUUCUAUUUUGUUGGUUUCUAGGACCGCCGUAAUGAUUAAUAGGGAUAGUCGGGGGCAUCCGUAUUCGAUUGUCAGAGGUGAAAUUCUUGGAUUUUUCGAAGACGAACUACUGCGAAAGCAUUUGCCAAGGAUGUUUUCAUUAAUCAGGAACGAAAGUUGAGGGAUCGAAGACGAUCAGAUACCGUCGUAGUCUCAACCAUAAACUAUGCCGACUAGGAAUCGGGCGAUGUUUUCAAUUUGACUCGCUCGGCACCUUACGAGAAAUCAAAGUUUUUGGGUUCUGGGGGGAGUAUGGUCGCAAGGCUGAAACUUAAAGGAAUUGACGGAAGGGCACCACCAGGAGUGGAGCCUGCGGCUUAAUUUGACUCAACACGGGGAAACUCACCAGGUCCAGACACAUUAAGGAUUGACAGAUUGAGAGCUCUUUCUUGAUUAUGUGGGUGGUGGUGCAUGGCCGUUCUUAGUUGGUGGAGUGAUUUGUCUGCUUAAUUGCGAUAACGAACGAGACCUUAACCUGCUAAAUAGCCGGGCUCGCUUUUGCGAGAUUCUGGC